This 375-nucleotide ribosomal RNA is filed under the name Triticum aestivum (bread wheat). RNAcentral's name for it is "partial small subunit ribosomal RNA". The record is from RNAcentral. Lineage: Eukaryota; Viridiplantae; Streptophyta; Magnoliopsida; Poales; Poaceae.
AUGCGUGAUCGGGUCAGCAUCGACCUAGACAACUUCCCCCUCGACCACGAGUUCCCGGACGACUACGAGCUAGAGGAAGAGGACGAGUGCGACAUCGAAGUGGAGCCUUUGUUCGAGGACGAGCUCGCCAACCAAGCCGCCGGUCCUAAGCCGAAGCUCAAGAGCAAGCGCACGAAGGCGUACACAGUGGCCGAGGACAAGCUUCUUUGCGAGUGUUGGCGAGACAUUGGACAAGACCCCAAAACGGGCGCCGAGCAAAAGCAUUCAACCUUUUGGAUUCGUGUCCACCAAGAGUUUCAUGAGCGCAAGAAGUUUCGACCUUAUCAAUUUGUGAGCACGCGCGGGUGGUUUUCAUUUCCAAGCGGUGGAGGGUGA